Molecule: long non-coding RNA, 670 nt
Filed under: Brassica rapa (field mustard)
Lineage: Eukaryota; Viridiplantae; Streptophyta; Magnoliopsida; Brassicales; Brassicaceae
Description: long non-coding RNA (BRAP_LNC005699)
Source: RNAcentral
CGCUCACACCAAAUCGAGCUUUAUUUGGAGAAGAAACCACCAAGAGCCGCCACAGAUUACCGGACCUACAUCAAGAAAACAGAACGAGCAAGCACCACCUUGAGUCAAAGUGGACAGAGGCAGCCCUAGACCAUGCCCCUGAAACAAGCAGGCUCUGAACGUGCCGCCACCGAAGGAAGAAGUCGUGGUUGACAAGGCCGACAACUCUUCACCUCGCACACGCAACCCGUAACAGACCUUCACGAUUUCGAACCGAAAUCAACCCCUGGAAGCCCCUGCGAGAUAGACUGACCGGUCUAACAAGGAACACCUGCGGAGAACACCAAGACACGCAGAGAAACACCGCAACGCCACCGUCUGGAGAAACCGAGAAGCGCCUUCAACCAAGAGAGCCUUCUCACCCACGCCGAGAACGGAAGGUAGAGGAAGCAGAGGAAGGAGACUGAUCUACUUCCGGAAUCCAGAUCUGACGCCAGAUCGAGACUUCCACGACCACACCCGACCGAAGGAACCUCACAUCCACUCCUCCUCCACGCUUCUCCAGAGUUCCGAGAGAGACAGCACCAGAUCUGGAACCGCGGUGGCGCAAGCUCCCAGAACACCGAGAAAGGAAGCAAGAAGAGGGAGGGAGAGGAGAGGCGAGAAAGAAGAGAGAAGCGACGGGAGGGGG